GGCCUACCAUGGUGGUAACGGGUAACGGGGUGUUAGGGCACGACACCGGAGAGGGAGCCUGAGAAACGGCUACCACAUCCAAGGAUGGCAGCAGGCGCGCAAAUUACCCAAUCCCGACACGGGGAGGUAGUGACAAUAAAUAACAAUACGGGGUUCUUUCGGAUCUCGUAAUUGGAAUGAGUACAAUUUAAAUCUCUUAACGAGGAACAAUUGGAGGGCAAGUCUGGUGCCAGCAGCCGCGGUAAUUCCAGCUCCAAUAGCGUAUAUUAAAGUUGUUGCAGUUAAAAAGCUCGUAGUUGAAUUUCGGGAUCAGAUUGUCGGUCGUGCCUCGGUACGCACUGGCAUUAUUGGUUCCUACCUUCUGAAGAACCGCGAUGUCAUUAAUUUGGUGUCGUGGGGAAUCAGGACUGUUACUUUGAAAAAAUUAGAGUGUUUAAAGCAGGCGCACGCUUGAAUACAUUAGCAUGGAAUAAUGAAAUAGGACGUUUGAUUCUAUUUUGUUGGUUUCUAGGAUCGACGUAAUGAUUAAUAGGGAUAGUUGGGGGCAUUAGUAUCCAAUUGUCAGAGGUAAAAUUCUUGGAUUUAUUGAAGACUAACUACUGCGAAAGCAUUUGCCAAGGAUGUUUUCAUUAAUCAAGAACGAAAGUUAGGGGAUCGAAGACGAUCAGAUACCGUCGUAGUCUUAACCAUAAACUAUGCCGACUAGGGAUCGGAUGAUGUUAAUUUUUUAAUGACUCAUUCGGCGCCUUACG
This 752-nucleotide ribosomal RNA is filed under the name uncultured Glomus. RNAcentral describes it as "SSU rRNA". It matches the Rfam family "Eukaryotic small subunit ribosomal RNA", at positions 338 to 1092 of the family's 1831-position model. The record is from RNAcentral. Lineage: Eukaryota; Fungi; Glomeromycota; Glomeromycetes; Glomerales; Glomeraceae.